GGAUAUGCUCGGAAACAGCCUCAGCAGGCAGAGCCAACUCAGCUAUACUGUAUUUCUGACAGAGUGGGGGGAGAAUUGAUCUGGGUAUUGAUUUGAUGCAGGAGCUGGUGCUUGUUUAAAAGUUUGCCCACAGGUCAGACCUUGUUACAAGCAGCUUUCCUGGUGAUUAGGUUAGAAGGAAACUGCGCCAACAGUGCUAACCAGGACAAUGUGGAACUGACAAGCCUUGUUUCCUACUCUCCAGCAAAAACAAAAGCAAACAGGUGAGCAGCUGGGGCCAAAACGGGGUUUUAGAAACCAUCCCCAGGUUUCCUGCCAGCAUCUGUUAUGAUCAAACUGCAAAUGCACUUUCAGCGUAGGACUGAGGAGUUCUGGGUUUGCAUGGAUUCUGGUCAUAUAGGUAUCUACUAACAUCAACAGCUUCCAAAAGUGCAGCACACGUCUAUCCCCUGCAGCAGCUCAGGUGCUCAGUGGGCUCUGAAUUUGGUGAGAAAUAAGCGUGGCUACACUGCACUCCAUGAUUCCAUCACAGAGGCACUCACAUAUUGCUACAGAGCACUCCUCUGCCCACACCCCUUCAGACCUACAGGCACAAGCUCUUAAGAGACUGGGAAGAGGAGUGAGGAAAAGUUCCUUUCGUUUCAAUGGAGCAGCACAGAAUACUGGAGCCCAGUCUCUUUCAGGAGGAUUGAUUUUGCCUUUUACAUCUCUUAGUGAAUCCGCUGCACCCCUUCCUUGGCUUUGCUGCCUUGGAAGCACGGCUUGCAGCUGAGUGCUGGUAGAUGACCAAGGAAGCAGCAAACCAGUUCAGAGCAGUGCAGGUAUCCUCAGAUAACCGCAUGCCUCACAGCAGCCAAGCAGCUGCUCGCUCUCAUGCAGCAUUCUCGCUGAAGCACGCAGGAGCCAGAGUGGAGCCGAAGCAUUUACUGGGAUUUAUGCAUUUGGAAAGAAUAAAAAUCAACGUACGAACUCCCCACUUCAUCCACGUGCUCAGCGCAGCAGUGCAACAUCCCCUGCUGCAGGGACUGAUGUUAACGCUCAGCACCGACUAUCUCCAGCGCAGAAACGGAGCCAGCACCCUGCUCAGCUGCCCCUUGGGCACACAAGAUGCUCCUGUCCCCAACACCGAAACACAAGCCCGAAACCCAGCCCCACGCAUAGGACAGAAAAUAAAAACCAGCUUCCACUCGGCCCAGCCCCGAGACAGAAUGAGAGAGUGCCUGUGGCACAGCAGCCACUAGCAGCGAGAACUUGCCGUUCCCAAAGCGCUGUGCAAACACUUGCACGCGCUCCCCACGCCCUUUGCAAUGCAGCGCGCUGACACGCUCAGCACACGGCUCCGAGCCCCGGCACAACCAGAUCGCCACAAAACCCCGUGUGAACAAGCAGCACUUGGCACUCCACAUCGCAGCAGGCAUUACAAGCACGAUCCAGUGAAGCCUCGUGAGCCUCCCACGCAGCGAUCUCCCCUAGAAACUGGCCAGCCUCCCUGGCGACUAAUCCCUGGUGUGAGUUACCUAAGGAGCCGAUGGCACGUAGAGCGCAAAGCUGGGCUCUUAUCGAUAUCAACAUCGAGGCUCAGAAGCCACGGAGAGAACCUUUGCACUUUGGCUCCCUGACGCUGAGACAACAUCACUUCUUCACACCAGGACGUGGUCAUGUGCGAGUCGCUCUGGACAAGGAACUGUCUCUGCCGACACGCGGAGCCCGCAGGCUCUUGGGGCAGAGAUGCAGACGCGCAUCCCAUAGUGCAGCAGGUGCAGGGCUGCUCUGGAGGGGCUGCAGGAGGCCGGCACAGAGCACAGGUUCAGCAGGAACGGGGCAGGCAGGCAGGCGACAGCUGCCAAGGAUGGGACCCGCGCUAUGCCCUGAGCUGACCACCCGGCCGCACCUUCAGCGGUGUUCCUGGUUUGAAAGAAGAGAGAAAGAAGGGGACUGGGGGCAGGGGAGGGGAGUGACGGUGGAGGUUUGCCGUGGAGCUAAAAGGGGAGAUUUAGUAACUGUCGGAAAAAAUGGCUGCUUUAUUGCAGGCAGCUUGUAAACCCUGGAGCCUGAAGGUCUGGGAGUAAUUUCUCCCUCCCACGUGCUGGGCUCAGUUUGUACUGGGGGUCAGGGGUCAGUGCUUUUCCAAAGCAUUCUGGGAAACACGCCAACUGGAGCAAGCUGCGAAACACCGCUCCUGCAGCACGGAGCAGGCUGCCCGAGGAGCCGACCCAGCGAGCUGCAGCGCCUGCUUAACCCUUUGCAGGGCGACCACUCCGCUCCCCCUGCCCUGCCAGGCUGUGAUGUGGGCGCCGGAGGAGAAGAAGGGACACAGGGACACCCCUGGGUGGUCCUCCAGGGGCUGCACCUCCCAACGCGGCCCAGCUGCUGCGUCUGAGCCCUGCUGCAGGUUGGGUGCAGGGAGUCAGAGCAGAGGGAAAACAAGCAGAGCAAGAACCCUGUGCCUGGGACGCAGCCUUAGCAUGGGAGAAAAUCGCCAGCUCCGUUUCAGAAAGGAGAAUAACUGUCCAGAAGCAAGGUCCCUGAGCUUCUUCAGCCCAGAUGCCCGCCCCCGCCUCACCAAAGCACUGCUGAGCAGCAGCAGGAGCCAAGGCACAAUCACGGCACUGACUGCAUGCCGGGGCACCUCUAGAAGGCAGCUCUCCCAUCGGCAGGGCAAAGCUCCUGGCACCCCUCUCUGUGCAAGGGAAGGAUGCCCUCCCUCCUUCCCACCCCAUCCCUGCACUGGGGCACACUGACGCUGUCCCCUCGCAGCCGUGCCAUGCCCUGCUGACGCUCUUCUCUCCCUCUCUGCAACCCUAGAGCCACACACAGCUCGGCCUCCUCCCUGGCACGGCCACGGCCACGGCCACGGCCAGCAGAACGCCGAGCAGAGCCCGCCAGCAGCACGUCGUGUCGGAGCCACGCUGCUCACAACACCGCGCUUCCUGCGAGCUGGCAGGGGGUGUGGCUGUGCCUCUGCACUGCUCCACCACAAAGACUGUCACACUGAAGAUGAUCCAUCUCCCUCCAAACAAAGACUUGUGCCUUCUUGUCUACAUCCCUUUGAAUUGCGCUCGCAGCUUUCUAAGCGGCUACGGUCUUGUGAGACGGAAGGCUGCUUGGAGCUGAGCCAGCACCAGGGAAACCACCAUUUCAAGGUCCUGCGAAGGAGCCUGUAAGAGCAGAAGGGAGCUUUGGCUGGGCGUGGGGGGGGGGGAAAUGAUGCACAGAGCAGGCUGUUCGCUGGAAGCUGCUGCUGCUUGCCAGGAGGCAGUGGGGGGAGGAGGCAGCAGAUGUCCGCAGACAGCAUUUGCUGAGAGCCUGCAGCACUCCAGCCCAGGGAGGGGAGGAAGGCGGCGGCUGGUGCCACUGCUGCUGCAUUGUAAUUGAACAGGACAAACAUGACAGAGUCUGCUGAGAAAGCUUACGCUGCCUUUCCCUCCAAUAACUGCCAGUUCAGAGAUGGGAAGCAGGAGUCCCAGGACAGUGGCUUGGGGUCAGGAUGGCACUGCAGGGAACGCUGCGUGGCCCUUCCCCAAGCAGCGGCAGCAGCUGCAAACCCCUCUGUAGCCAAGCACAGCCACCAGGGCUGCGUCUGCGUGCGAGGACCACGGGGCAGGUCCUGCUGCAGCCCACGAGUUCCCUCUCCUCCUGGCACACACGGCAGAGUCCAGGAAGGAGAGGCAAUAAAUGUCCAAGGACGCACAGCGGAAAGCAGAACGCAGGGCUCAGCCCACCAGCCUCCCCCUUUGGGCACCAGCUCGCCCAGCACCCAGGUGCCCUGGCUCACAGCUGCUUCCCCUCAGCAGCAGCUGGCAGAAAGCGCUCAGGUUUGCAGCAACCCCGUGCACUCUGCAUUUCCCCUUCAUUGUAAAAGUGUAUGAUGGAGAACACAACUGCCGGUGCUGUGGCAGGCAGCCAGCAAGCCCAGACCCAGCAGCGCUGCUCUGUGCAGGCGUGAGGUGUCAGCUGGGCUCUCGGACGGCCCACGUGGCUCCAGUUUCCUGUCUCUGGGCACAAGAGGUUUGCUUCCUCCCUGCAGUAAAUGAGGCCGAUCACAGGAGCUCUGCCACCAGUCACACAGUAAUGUGGGCUGCCUGGAGCCAGGCUUCUCCCAUAGGUUUUGUUCUGCAUCCAGGAUGCUCUGCAGAGAUGGUGGGUGAUGGGAGCAGCACCUCAGAGACUGUGCCCGCUGCCACGAGGACAUGGAGGGUGCAGCAGGACCUAAGCACACCAUGCUUCUACCUGCCCAAAAAGGCCCUGGGACACCCAGAAACAUCAGCCAUCACCCAUUUCAGAUGGAAAGGAACUGACUUAAGCCGGAGGGGCCUUUGGCUCAUUAAGCAAAACCACCCUGGGGCUUGUUGUUCAGAUCAAAUCGCGCAGCUCCUGGUCCCCUCCUACAGCAUACUGAGAUACAGUCUGGCACUUGGGUCCACUUGAGUCCUCUUAAAAUAAAAAUUAAUUGAUAUGCAAAUAAGAUGAGGCGUUAGAUUAGUCUGCUGGCCGAGGGCAAUGCACAGCCUCCCCACCGUUCCAAGCUACAAUUCCAACAUUGCCGCACCCUUCCUGUGCCUGGGGUCAGCCCUUGGCAGCAGCUCUCAAGAGCAGAGGGUCCCAAUAACGUAUGCCACGUGCACAAGGGAGCCUGGGUGGCACAACAUCAUGGGAUGGCUGAAAUCAUUUGGAAUAAAUUUGGAAUUAAAGCAUAAUAAACUAAACGAGAAACAUUUACCGCUGGCACCCUAGCCUCUCUUCAUACUUUGAAAUUGCUGUGUGGGGUGGGGCACAGUUGCUUAAAGUCCUGACAAUGCAAAUGAUCAGGCAGGUAGAUCACUCUUCUCGCUAAAAUAACAUGUGCAUCUGCAAAAUCAGGACACUUUGCUGAAGUUCUGGAUCAAGGCAAAGUAACUCCUUUAUUACCAACAAACUAUUCAGAUCCGAUGUUAAAAACACCUAGUGGGAGCAUGGCAAACGAGGCAUGUCUGAAAAAUAUCACAGAGUCUGUCACCUUGCAGGAAGUACCACAACAGCUGAUGCAGCAUGAUGUUUUGUUCUCACAGCAGUCUCACCCAGUAAGUUGCUUAAUGGAUGUCUAGAGCGGCCCUGGGUGCUUCAGAGCCAGGUUGACAGAAGGACUAAGGGAAAUGUCACUCUCAUUUUUAAGAAAGGGAGAAAUGAAGAACCAGGAACAACAGGC
This is a long non-coding RNA of Numida meleagris (helmeted guineafowl), 5185 nucleotides long. RefSeq lists it as uncharacterized. The transcript has 3 exons. NCBI's taxonomy places the organism in Eukaryota, Metazoa, Chordata, Aves, Galliformes, Numididae. The record is from RefSeq and is a predicted model, not a curated record.